GAUCAUGGCUCAGGAUGAACGCUGGCGGCGUGCUUAACACAUGCAAGUCGAACGAACCUUGGGGAACAGAUUACUUCGGUUUGAAGUUCCCCGCUGGUUAGUGGCGGACGGGUGAGUAACGCGUGGGUAACCUGCCGUAUGCAGGGGGAUAACAGUUAGAAAUGACUGCUAAUACCGCAUAAGCGCACAGUAUCGCAUGAUACAGUGUGAAAAACGAUAGUGGCAUACGAUGGACCCGCGUCUGAUUAGCUAGUUGGCGGGUAACGGCCCACCAAGGCGACGAUCAGUAGCCGGCCUGAGAGGGUGAACGGCCACAUUGGAACUGAGACACGGUCCAAACUCCUACGGGAGGCAGCAGUGGGGGAUAUUGCACAAUGGGGGAAACCCUGAUGCAGCGACGCCGCGUGAGUGUAGAAGUAUUUCGGUAUGUAAAGCUCUAUCAGCAGGAAAGAUAAUGACGGUACCUGACUAAGAAGCACCGGCUAAAUACGUG
This 493-nucleotide ribosomal RNA is filed under the name uncultured bacterium. Its description in RNAcentral is "bacterial SSU rRNA". It matches the Rfam family "Bacterial small subunit ribosomal RNA", at positions 15 to 507 of the family's 1533-position model. The record is from RNAcentral.